RNAcentral lists this long non-coding RNA (305 nucleotides) under Populus tremula. RNAcentral's name for it is "long non-coding RNA (PTRE_LNC000934)". Lineage: Eukaryota; Viridiplantae; Streptophyta; Magnoliopsida; Malpighiales; Salicaceae. The record is from RNAcentral.
AGGAAAUGCUCCAUGGGUAAUACAAGAACAAUAUUUUCUUUCCAAGUACAUGCCAUGCAUGACAAUGUUUGGGAUGAACGUGCACUUAUAGGUCCUCUCUUUGAUCUGAUGCCUUGGCUUGAAACAAGCUUCUCGACUGGUGGUGAGUGUUUAUCAGUUUGGUUCUUGUCUUGAGGUAUGCGUAUUUGCAAAUGUGAUGAUCAUUAAUUUUAAAUUUUUUUUGUUGUUCCUAACAUGAAAUCCGCAGAAGAUGUUUUGAUAGCAAGGUUAACCCCCUUUCAUCUUACUGGGCCUAGUUGGGCGAG